CCGCCUCCUAUCUUCCUCUCUCUCCCCCCCCCCACCUCCUUAUCCGCUCUCUCUCUCCCCCCCUCCCCCCGUCGGCGCCCUGCUCCCAACUUUAUCCGCCUCUGUCCGCCGCCUCCCUCUCCUGUCCCUAUCUCUUCCCUACCCUCCCGCCGCCCCCUUCCCCUCCCUCUCCCACCCCCUCCCCCUACCUCUCUCGCUACUACUGCCCCUCCCCUUCGCCUCUCACUAGUAGUGAAGACUGGUGGCGGGGUGAGGUGUGGGGCGCGCGGAGGUGCUCGGCGACGCGCGGGGUGCAGCGGUGCGCAGGGGAGCGGCGGCCAGCCGGAGGCGGUGGGGCGUAGGGGUGCGGCGGCGGGGCAUAGUUUUUUUUUUGCACAGGUGGUGGUGGCAGGGCAGCGGGAUGCGGGACCGGGUGGCGUGGUGGUGGCGGCGGCGGGGAAGCGAGAUGCGGGGCCCGGCGGUGUGGUGGCGGCGGGGCUGGGCUCGGGCUGGCAGGGCUCGGGCUCGGACGGGGUGAUUUCUUUUUCUUAUUUUUUAAUACCCUUAGUACCGGUUAGUUCACCAGAUCCUAAAAGGCCCUUUAGUACCGAAGUAGCAAUACCGGUUGCACAACUGGUACUUUGGGGUUAGGAACCGGUACUGAAGGCGCUUUCCCUGGUAGUGGAUGUAGAGUUCUUAGCUAGGGGCACGUGAUAGUUCGAGACUAGUUGAGCUGUUCAAGUACUUUUGUACUUUCAUUUUGGUAUGUCAUGUCUUCCUAAAGUUUAAGUUGUCCUCGAUUAUAAACAUAUGUUAUACAAUAUUUAUUGGAAUAAUUAGUAUUUUAUGUUCAAUUUAAUGUAUAGAUUAAGUCAUAAGUUAAAGAGGAAAUAAGCUAGAUUAUUUAUCAUAUCACGUCGCUAUGUAUAUAAAGAAUUGCUCCUCUUUUAGGCCUGUUCGCUUCAGGUUAUUCAGCCGGCUUAUCAGCCACCAAACAAUGUUUUCCUCUCACAACAAAUCAGCUAUUUCAGUUUUUCAGCCGGCUUAAGCUGAAGCGAACAAGCCCUUAAUUUCUAACACAAAUCUUAAAGCAACCCACCAAUUAAUUAAAUAUUUUCACCUUGGUUAUGAAUGGACCCAGCCCUACCAAUGUCAAUCCAGCCCAUACCCAU
This 1151-nucleotide long non-coding RNA is filed under the name Setaria italica (foxtail millet). RNAcentral describes it as "long non-coding RNA (SITA_LNC005215)". The record is from RNAcentral. Lineage: Eukaryota; Viridiplantae; Streptophyta; Magnoliopsida; Poales; Poaceae.